UCUGGGCGUAAGCGUGCGCAGGCGGUUAUGUAAGACAGAUGUGAAAUCCCCGGGCUCAACCUGGGAACUGCAUUUGUGACUGCAUGGCUAGAGUGCGGUAGAGGGGGAUGGAAUUCCGCGUGUAGCAGUGAAAUGCGUAGAUAUGCGGAGGAACACCGAUGGCGAAGGCAGUCCCCUGGACCUGUACUGACGCUCAUGCACGAAAGCGUGGGGAGCAAACAGGAUUAGAUACCCUGGUAGUCCACGCCCUAAACGAUGUCAACUGGUUGUUGGGAAUUAGUUUUCUCAGUAACGAAGCUAACGCGUGAAGUUGACCGCCUGGGGAGUACGGCCGCUAGGUUG
RNAcentral lists this ribosomal RNA (342 nucleotides) under uncultured bacterium. RNAcentral describes it as "bacterial SSU rRNA". It matches the Rfam family "Bacterial small subunit ribosomal RNA", at positions 553 to 896 of the family's 1533-position model. The record is from RNAcentral.